This 101-nucleotide transfer RNA is filed under the name Rhizoctonia solani. Its description in RNAcentral is "tRNA-Glu". It matches the Rfam family "tRNA". Rfam says of the family: Transfer RNA (tRNA) molecules are approximately 80 nucleotides in length. Their secondary structure includes four short double-helical elements and three loops (D, anti-codon, and T loops). Further hydrogen bonds mediate the characteristic L-shaped molecular structure. tRNAs have two regions of fundamental functional importance: the anti-codon, which is responsible for specific mRNA codon recognition, and the 3' end, to which the tRNAs corresponding amino acid is attached (by aminoacyl-tRNA synthetases). tRNAs cope with the degeneracy of the genetic code in two manners: having more than one tRNA (with a specific anti-codon) for a particular amino acid; and 'wobble' base-pairing, i.e. permitting non-standard base-pairing at the 3rd anti-codon position. Lineage: Eukaryota; Fungi; Basidiomycota; Agaricomycetes; Cantharellales; Ceratobasidiaceae. The record is from RNAcentral.
UCCGGUAUGGUGUAACGGCUAACAUUGUCGCCUUUCAACUGGUUCCGGUCAUCCCGGAUCACCUGACGCGACGGCUCAGGGUUCGAUUCCCUGUACCGGAG